Molecule: ribosomal RNA, 164 nt
Filed under: Distichochlamys citrea
Lineage: Eukaryota; Viridiplantae; Streptophyta; Magnoliopsida; Zingiberales; Zingiberaceae
Also listed under: 5 other names
Description: 5.8S ribosomal RNA
Rfam family: 5.8S ribosomal RNA
About the family: 5.8S ribosomal RNA (5.8S rRNA) is a component of the large subunit of the eukaryotic ribosome. It is transcribed by RNA polymerase I as part of the 45S precursor that also contains 18S and 28S rRNA.
Source: RNAcentral
CAAAUGACUCUCGGCAAUGGAUAUCUCGGCUCUUGCAUCGAUGAAGAACGUAGUGAAAUGCGAUACUUGGUGUGAAUUGCAGAAUCUCGUGAACCAUUGAGUCUUUGAACGCAAGUUGUGCCCGAGGCCUUGUGGUCGAGGGCACGCCUGCUUGGGUGUCAUGG